AACUAAGGCUUUGCUCACCCAGCAUGUGAAGACUGUUUUGGCUGAACAGACAGAAGAAACCAAUAAGAAGGUUCAACAGCUGAGAGGGCGACUCAGCAAAGCACUGUAGAGUGCUUAGGGCAUGUUGGAGCACAAAAGACAAUAUGGCCAUCCAAUGCAGCUGAAGAAGUCUCCAGGUGUAAAAAUUUUUUGUGCCAAUGGACCCAGGCUUCUAAUGCCGAGAGAGUGGGACUAUUUCUGUGCAGCGACUUUUCCACUUAAAUCUACUUCAUGCACAUGUGUUUUUGUGCACACUCAUCUACAUCACAGAUGAAAGCGCACAAAGACAAUUGUCAUCCUCUGUUACCAAGAGACUACUACUACAACAACUUAUUUAAUCAUCCAUUAACCUAUACACAUUUUGGUUAUUUCUAAUUCUUUGGCACACAAAAAUGUUCCUAUGGACAGUUUGUUGAACAAGAAUUUUUUUUCUAUCUUUUAUCUCCCAUGGAUAUAUACCUAGAAAUGAAGAAAUAAUAUUACUUAAUAUAUAUGGACCAAAUGGUAUAGAAUCCACAGAUAACCUCUUGUACUUAAUCCCCAACUGACAACACCUAGGAAUGUUAUAGCCAAAUUCAAGAACUAUCAGACCAAAGAAAAGAUAUUACAAGCUGCCAAGAAGAAGUCAUUCAGAUACCAACGAACCACAGUGAGGAUAACUCAGAAUCUGGCUGCAUCCACACUGAAAAAAAAGAAGGCAUGGAAUAUGAUAUUCUGGAAAGAAAGGGAACUAGGUCUACAACCAAGAAUCAACUACCCAGCAAAACUGACUAUAUUCUUACAGGGGAAAGUAUGGUCAUUCAACAAAAUAGAAGAAUUUCAAGAAUUCGUAAAGAAAAUACCAGACCUGAACAGAAAAUUUGAUGUCCAAGCACAGAACUUAAGAGAACCAUCAAAAGGAGAGGUGGCUCUGGCUGUUGACUUCCUGUGAGCUGCCUGGGCACCAGUUCUAUUCUGGAACUCGAGCCCAGAGGAUCUCCCUCAGACAGCUUCCUUGAGAGGGUUAUGUGGUAAGUGAUAAGACUGACUCCAUUUCCCUUGGCUCUAAGGGGAG
This 1093-nucleotide long non-coding RNA is filed under the name Monodelphis domestica (gray short-tailed opossum). RNAcentral describes it as "lncRNA (ENSMODG00000043222.1)". Lineage: Eukaryota; Metazoa; Chordata; Mammalia; Didelphimorphia; Didelphidae. The record is from RNAcentral.